CGAGAGAAGCCAGUUGAUUAGGGUGUUUAGCUGUUAACUAAAUUUUUGUGGGAUGGAGGCCCACCAAUCUAGUAAGGGCUUAGCUUAAUUAAAGUGUUUGAUUUGCAAUCAAUUGCUGUAGGAUAGAUUCUUGCAGUCCUUAGAGUUGGCUAGAUGUGCAUGAU
Long non-coding RNA from Lynx canadensis (Canada lynx), 164 nucleotides. RefSeq lists it as uncharacterized. The transcript is spliced from 3 exons. Lineage: Eukaryota; Metazoa; Chordata; Mammalia; Carnivora; Felidae. The record is from RefSeq and is a predicted model, not a curated record.